Molecule: small nucleolar RNA, 93 nt
Filed under: Oryza sativa Indica Group (long-grained rice)
Lineage: Eukaryota; Viridiplantae; Streptophyta; Magnoliopsida; Poales; Poaceae
Description: Small nucleolar RNA R24
Source: RNAcentral
AAAGGUAUGAUGCCAGUAUAAGACGCUCAGAAGCCAAGUGUAACAAGAGUAUUUCAUCAAAGAACCAAUUGAUCGGUUGGCCUUCUUAUCACA